AUAAGACCACCUUUAAAAGAUUUCUUUUUUCUUCUAUUUUUGAUUGCUUCGUAAAAAAAAUACAUCAUUGUUUUGUGGCUUUUAUAGCCGAAAAGAAAAAAGAAAAUACAAUACUCGUUUCUUUGCCUCUGUGUUUGCGUGUUUGUUUUGCAGGUACAAGGGUCGUACGCCAGCUAUGUACGGAGGUUGACGUGGCGGUACGGAGGCACGCGUGGGAAAGAUGCAACGACAGCAGCUAAAAAGAGUGGCUAGGGUUAGGUUUUUUUUCUAAAAAUGUUAAGAUAAUGGGCCACUUGGGCCGUCUAGGGUUUUUAGUGUUUGGGUUUGUAAAUUGGGCUUUUAGGUUUAAUGCAUAUUGGGCUACAUAUGUGGUAAAUGGACUAGGACAGUUGUUAUUUAUUUUUGUUUGGUUUUUGUCUGGCCCCCGACAAAUUGGGCCUCUUACAUGAUGAAUGGUGAUUAAAUAAUGUAAUGCUGAGGUAUGGUUAUAUGUAUGCCUGGAAUAUGUAUUAUAAGUCAAGAAUGUAUGUGUUAUAUGUCGGUGAAAUAAAAUGUUAGGCUUAAACUGUAGAAGGGCAUGAAGAGUUUGUGUCUGUUCACCGUGGUGGUAUUCAAAAGGGUCAGCCAGGAUUUUAAAUAAGAACCUUGAAUGGAAAGUCCAUGGUCAUGGCACCCUUUGUAAGGGACUAAAGGAUGGUUAUAGCCCAAUUCAUUUUUUCUGCGUGUCCCAGGAUCAUGAUAAGCAAAUCUCACGAAAUGUGAGUCUAGGCAAAUUCAUAUCACAAACACAUCAGGAAAGAAAAUGCCCUCACGGUGAACCCUAAACGAAUGCCUUUGUAGCGUAAUAUGAAAGGAAUGCCCUUGUAGCGCAAUAUGAAAAAGUAUCAUUCGUGACGAACUCUGAAAGAAAUGUCCUUAUGAUACGUCAAAAUAAAGUUCUCAGUGACAUACCAAAAAGAAUGUUCUUAUGGCAGGUUUUAUAAUAAAUCGAUUAGGCGCAUUCAACAUGACCCUUAAGUGAAAUCAAUAAGAUCAGAAAGGUUUCAUGUCUCUAUGGUUAAUACAAUAAAAAAGAGUUACAUAAGGCUAUGACUCGUCUAAAAAUAAAAAUGUAAAAUUUGUAUGUUCGAAAGAGGUAUCUGUCGUCUGUGCACACGUUCUUUUAAAUUGUGAUGAUUUGAUGGCUUAGAAGUAAGUUUGCAAGCGUAAUGUUAUUACUGAUUGUAUUGAUCUCUGAAAAGAAAAUGAAUAAAGAUUUAUGAUUGUUUUGAUUGAACUAAAUGAUGUAUUGAAUACUUCGAUAAGAGGAAGUGAUUUCAGAGUAACGUAUGAUAUCUAAAUAUGGAAACAAAACUUGAGGAAGUAUCAGAGACAAAGUUAAAAGUUUAAAGAUGAUAGGAUCAUCUAUCUAAACUAUCAAUUGCAAUGUGCAAAUAUGACUCAUGUAAAUGAGGUUUUCCUCACUAAAUUCUUAUAAACUUAUCUCUGGGUGUUAUGUUACAAGAGAGAUGAUGUAAGUCUGCGUUAAGAGGGACGAUGUUAGGACUAUGCCAAGAAGUGACAUAUCGGGUUAUUGUGCAUACAGAGCAAGAUUGGCGACGUGUUCCAGGACUGAAUUAUUACUUAGAAGUCCCUACUUAGGGCAUCUUUAUUGUAUUAGAGUUUCAAAUUAAAUAUUGUUGUAUUUUAAUUACCACGUGUUGUAAUUAUAUUUACUUCUUGUCCAUGUUUAUCUAUUCAAAUUAGAAAUUUUGUAAUUAAGUAACAUAAUUGAUUGUAAUUUGUAAAAGUAGAUUGAGUUUUUAUUUGUAUUAACGUGAUAAUACCUAAGAUCCGGAUUCAACCAAUCAAAUCGAGUCGAGGGUGUUACAAUGUUAGUAUAAAUGACUUAAUUUAUUAGUAGUUAAAGUUGAAUAUGUAACUUAAUUAAAUUAAAUAUUUAUGACUUAUCUAUCUAUAAUAUAAAAAAGUAUGAAUUUUAAAAAACUUUUGAUUAGUAGUUAAAGUUGAAUUUUUUCAAGUCAUUAAGUGAUAAAUUUUAACUAAAAAUCAAAGUUUGAUGAAAAUUUUUUUUAAAAAAAAUUCAAAGUUUAUUGGUAAAAUUCAAUCACAUUAAUAAUUGAAUGGCAAAUUUACACAAUUUCAAAAUAUAAUGGCAAAAAUUAAAGAAAACAAAAUAUAGCCUAUUAUAUAUAAGUGCUUUCAUUGAAGAUGUAAAAUCGUUAAAAGAUGAUUUCCAUACCUGUUUGUUCUCCCACACAACAAGGGAGAGGAACGACCAAGCGCAUGUUUUAGUAACGGAGGAUUAAAACGAAGGGAGCAAGCUUACCUGGUAGGGGAAGUGCCGGAGUUCGCGGUGGGAAAAAUGGAGGAGGAUAGAAGAUCGGACGGCCAACGAGGUUAACUAACUCAAGAAAUGGCCAAAAGGGUCCACUCCGAGGAAAGGCGAUAGAUCUUUUGAGAGGAAAAAGGAAACGGAAGGGUGAAAUUUUGGAAGAGUGAGAAGAGGGUCCCCUCUGAUCAACUGGGUUGCAAUCUGGGGACGGUUAAGGUCCUAAGAAAGCCAACGGACCACUUUUAUUUCCACUUUGUUUAAUUUAUUGUUUAUUUGCAAUUCUUUUGUUAUCUUGCUGUUGCUUAGUUCUUUUCAAACUAGGGUUAUAAACUUCAAUUCCUUUAAAGUAUAAUGUCAAAUAAAUUUUUAAUAUAUAUUCCACACUUAUAAAAUUUAAUAAUAAAAAUUUAUCAUUUAACUUUUUGCAAUUUAUCAAACACAAUCUAAAUCUAAAUCAUCAUUUUAUAAUUACAUUUACUAUUUAAUUUUUUUAUUAAAC
RNAcentral lists this long non-coding RNA (2834 nucleotides) under Gossypium barbadense (sea-island cotton). Its description in RNAcentral is "long non-coding RNA (GBAR_LNC013601)". The record is from RNAcentral. Lineage: Eukaryota; Viridiplantae; Streptophyta; Magnoliopsida; Malvales; Malvaceae.